Non-coding RNA from Bradyrhizobium japonicum, 221 nucleotides. The record is from Rfam. NCBI's taxonomy places the organism in Bacteria, Pseudomonadati, Pseudomonadota, Alphaproteobacteria, Hyphomicrobiales, Nitrobacteraceae.
GAAGUCCAUUGCGAUGAAGGUGUAGCGAACCACAUCGGCCCCGAGCCGUGCGCAGGCGUCCGCGAGGGUGUCGGCGAAGCGUCGGUAGGGGAGCAUGCAGGCCAGCCAUUGAGCCGCGAAACAGUGUUAUCUCGGGAGCCGACGCUGUCCAAAGAGCGGAAGGCAAUAUGGGCGAGUGCGCAAACGCGAGCACCCGUCCAACCCGGCGUGGUCGUAGACCC